Molecule: non-coding RNA, 45 nt
Organism: Astyanax mexicanus (Mexican tetra)
Lineage: Eukaryota; Metazoa; Chordata; Actinopteri; Characiformes; Acestrorhamphidae
Source: Rfam
UAAAUGGCUCUACUAAGAGCCAGUUAUUUUAAAAAGAACAGAGAG